RNAcentral lists this ribosomal RNA (460 nucleotides) under uncultured bacterium. Its description in RNAcentral is "partial 16S ribosomal RNA". It matches the Rfam family "Bacterial small subunit ribosomal RNA", at positions 338 to 795 of the family's 1533-position model. The record is from RNAcentral.
CCUACGGGUGGCAGCAGUGAGGAAUAUUGGUCAAUGGACGAGAGUCUGAACCAGCCAAGUAGCGUGAAGGAUGACUGCCCUAUGGGUUGUAAACUUCUUUUAUAUGGGAAUAAAAUGUUCCACGUGUGGGAUUUUGUAUGUACCAUAUGAAUAAGGAUCGGCUAACUACGUGCCAGCAGCCGCGGUAAUACGGAGGAUCCGAGCGUUAUCCGGAUUUAUUGGGUUUAAAGGGAGCGUAGGUGGAUGGUUAAGUCAGUUGUGAAAGUUUGGGGCUCAACCGUAAAAUUGCAGUUGAAACUGGAAGUCUGGAGUACAGUAGAGGUGGGUGGAAUUCGUGGUGUAGCGGUGAAAUGCGUAGAUAUUACGAAGAACUCCGAUGGCGAAGGCAGCUCACUGGACUGUAACUGACAUUGAGGCUCGAAAGUGUGGGGAUCAAACAGGAUUAGAUACCCGAGUAGUC